RNAcentral lists this ribosomal RNA (440 nucleotides) under uncultured bacterium. RNAcentral's name for it is "partial 16S ribosomal RNA". It matches the Rfam family "Bacterial small subunit ribosomal RNA", at positions 338 to 795 of the family's 1533-position model. The record is from RNAcentral.
CCUACGGGGGGCAGCAGUGGGGAAUAUUGCACAAUGGGCGAAACCCUGAUGCAGCGACGCCGCGUGAGUGAAGAAGUAAUUCGUUAUGUAAAGCUCUAUCAGCAGGGAAGAAAAUGACGGUACCUGAGUAAGAAGCCCCGGCUAACUACGUGCCAGCAGCCGCGGUAAUACGUAGGGGGCAAGCGUUAUCCGGAUUUACUGGGGGUAAAGGGGGCGUAGACGGGAGUGCAAGUCUGGAGUGAAAGGCGGGGGCUCAACCCCCGGACUGCACUGGAAACUGUACGGCUGGAGUGCAGGAGAGGUAAGUGGAAUUCCUAGUGUAGCGGUGAAAUGCGUAGAUAUUAGGAGGAACACCAGUGGCGAAGGCGGCUUGCUGGACUGUAACUGACGUUGAGGCUCGAAGGCGUGGGGAGCAAACAGGAUUAGAUACCCGUGUAGUC